GAUUGGCCUGAAAUUCAGAGAUCCACCUGCCUCAGCCUUUCAAGUACUGGGAUUAAACAUGGCUGAAUAAUCAUCUCUGAGCCACCUACUUGCCACAAGUUGUGUUCCUUAGAAUUGAUUCCCUCAACGUAGUCAGAAGCUGUCCAAGGUCUGAAGGCUCCUGACUGGGCAAGGACCUCCUACAUCUACGGGACGCCAGACGAGAGAGCUCUUGACCCUGCUUUAAGGACCAUAAUAAUCUAAAGAGCCUUAACAGCCCAAGACACCUGCUAUGAUUUAAGUGACUGCAGCUGGCAAUUGUGGACAAAGUCUGCUUUGAUAUCAUUCUAGGUACAUACAGAGAAUACUUAACAAGACCCAUCAAGAUACAAAGAACUUAUUCUUCAACUGCAUUCAUCUUGAUCCUACUUCCUGCCCUAGCCCAAUGUCAAAUUCCUGCCAAAUUCCUAGACGCUGCACCAAAAGCUCUCCACUCUUCCUUUUACCCGGUCACACCAUCACCUUGACUAAGGUGUGCAGCCAAACAUGGGAAGUGGAGCGGGACACUAAUGACCUUGAGAGGAAGCUGUGUGUUUGAGGAAUGAAAACGCGGCACACUAGCAAGCUCAGGGUCUUGUGAAGGCUAGCCUCCAGCUUGAUCUGUAGCGAGGAUGGCCUACAGCUCCAACGUGUGC
Long non-coding RNA from Mus caroli (Ryukyu mouse), 674 nucleotides. RefSeq lists it as uncharacterized. The record is from RefSeq and is a predicted model, not a curated record. NCBI's taxonomy places the organism in Eukaryota, Metazoa, Chordata, Mammalia, Rodentia, Muridae.